This 253-nucleotide ribosomal RNA is filed under the name uncultured bacterium. RNAcentral's name for it is "partial 16S ribosomal RNA". It matches the Rfam family "Bacterial small subunit ribosomal RNA", at positions 524 to 776 of the family's 1533-position model. The record is from RNAcentral.
UACGAGUGCCCCAAGCGUUAUCCGGAAUUAUUGGGCGUAAAGGGCGCGUAGGCGGCUUGGCAAGUGGAAGGUGAAAUCCCUCGGCUUAACCGAGGAACUGCCCUCCAAACUGCUUCGCUUGAGACCGGGAGAGGUGAGUGGAAUUCCCAGUGUAGCGGUGAAAUGCGUAGAUAUUGGGAGGAACACCAGUGGCGAAGGCGGCUCACUGGACCGGUACUGACGCUGAUGCGCGAAAGCGUGGGGAGCAAACGGG